RNAcentral lists this ribosomal RNA (496 nucleotides) under uncultured bacterium. Its description in RNAcentral is "partial 16S ribosomal RNA". It matches the Rfam family "Bacterial small subunit ribosomal RNA", at positions 33 to 507 of the family's 1533-position model. The record is from RNAcentral.
AUUCACGCUUGCGGCGUGCCUCAUACAUGCAAGUCGAGCGAACAGACGAGGAGCUUGCUCCUCUGACGUUAGCGGCGGACGGGUGAGUAACACGUGGAUAACCUACCUAUAAGACUGGGAUAACUUCGGGAAACCGGAGCUAAUACCGGAUAAUAUAUUGAACCGCAUGGUUCAAUAGUGAAAGACGGUUUUGCUGUCACUUAUAGAUGGAUCCGCGCCGCAUUAGCUAGUUGGUAAGGUAACGGCUUACCAAGGCAACGAUGCGUAGCCGACCUGAGAGGGUGAUCGGCCACACUGGAACUGAGACACGGUCCAGACUCCUACGGGAGGCAGCAGUAGGGAAUCUUCCGCAAUGGGCGAAAGCCUGACGGAGCAACGCCGCGUGAGUGAUGAAGGUCUUCGGAUCGUAAAACUCUGUUAGUAGGGAAGAACAAAUGUGUAAGUAACUAUGCACGUCUUGACGGUACCUAAUCAGAAAGCCACGGCUAACUACGUG